CAGAUGUGGAUCAGCGUCUCCUCUGCUCUUCCUCCUGAACGCCUCCUUCUCCUCAGAUGUGGAUAAGCGCCUCCUUCUCCUCGGACGUGGAUCAGUGUCUCCUUCUCAGACGAGGACCAGUGUCUCCUUCUCCUCAGACAUGGAUCAGCGUCUCCUCUGCUCUUCCUCCUCUUGACAUCCAAGAAGCAAACUGGGCCAAACUGAUCAAAGUUUGUAAAUCACUGUUUACUCGGAUGUAGAUUAUGAAUAAACGUGUGUUUAUCACACAGCUGUGGCUGCAGCAGGCAAGUUCUUUACCAGACCUUUGAUGACACGGUCAGGAGCAACGUGGGAUUCAGUAUCUUGCCCCCUGAGCUGGGAAUCAAAACCACAACCUUCCAGUCACACACAAGAACAACCUGUAACAUGAAUAGUGAAACUUUCCAGUAAAGAAGCACAAAAAUCAGGGGCGCUCACAGUACAGUCAGCACUGACUGUCCACCACUACCUCAUACAAUGACACUUGAAAAAAAAAUACCUGAACUACCCCUUUAACAUCAUGUGAUCAUAAUGGUGGUGAAUUGCCCUGAAUCAUCAGUGAAUAAUCGAGCAAUGAAUUAAUAAAUAAAUGAAUCAAUAAA
Molecule: long non-coding RNA, 620 nt
Organism: Solea senegalensis (Senegalese sole)
Lineage: Eukaryota; Metazoa; Chordata; Actinopteri; Pleuronectiformes; Soleidae
Exons: 2
Source: RefSeq, a predicted model, not a curated record